Molecule: non-coding RNA, 79 nt
Organism: Pedobacter sp. Hv1
Lineage: Bacteria; Pseudomonadati; Bacteroidota; Sphingobacteriia; Sphingobacteriales; Sphingobacteriaceae
Source: Rfam
UUAAAGGUGGACUGAUUUGCGAUGCUAUUGAAUAUAGCUGGAUUGCAACCACGUAAAAAAAAGUGCUAACCAUUACUAC